RNAcentral lists this ribosomal RNA (880 nucleotides) under uncultured Methanocalculus sp. RNAcentral's name for it is "bacterial SSU rRNA". It matches the Rfam family "Archaeal small subunit ribosomal RNA", at positions 18 to 905 of the family's 1478-position model. The record is from RNAcentral. Lineage: Archaea; Methanobacteriati; Methanobacteriota; Methanomicrobia; Methanomicrobiales; Methanocalculaceae.
CAGAGCUAUUGCUAUMAKGRUUUGACUAAGCCAUGCGAGUCGAGAGGUGAAAGACCUCGGCAUACUGCUCAGUAACACGUGGAUAAUCUGCCCUCAGGUGAGGAAUAAUCCCGGGAAACUGGGGCUAAUGCCUCAUAGGAGACGGGUGCUGGAAUGCUCUGUCUCCGAAAGGUCCGCCGCCUGAGGAUGAGUCUGCGUCCGAUUAGGUUGUUGUUGGGGUAACGGCCCAACAAGCCUUUGAUCGGUACGGGUUGUGGGAGCAAGAGCCCGGAGAUGGAUUCUGAGACAUGAAUCCAGGCCCUACGGGGCGCAGCAGGCGCGAAAACUUUACAAUGCGAGCAAUCGUGAUAAGGAAACCCUGAGUGCCUGUCAAUGCAGGCUGUUCUGGUGUCUAACACACACCAGGAGAAAGGGCGGGGCAAGACCGGUGCCAGCCGCCGCGGUAAUACCGGCUGCUCGAGUGAUAGCCACUUUUACUGGGCUUAAAGCGUUCGUAGCUUGGUCGUUAAGUCUCUGGGGAAAUCUUUUGGCUCAACCAAAAGGCGUCUCAGGGAAACUGACGAUCUUGGAACCGGGAGAGGUAAGACGUACUUCGGGGGUAGGAGUGAAAUCUUGUAAUCCCCGAGGGACGACCGAUGGCGAAGGCAUCUUACCAGAACGGCUUCGACAGUGAGGGACGAAAGCUGGGGGAGCAAACCGGAUUAGAUACCCGGGUAGUCCCAGCCGUAAACGAUGUGCGUUAGGUGUGUCAGUGACCACGAGUCGCUGAGGUGCCGAAAGGGAAACCGUGAAACGCACCGCCUGGGAAGUACGGUCGCAAGGCUGAAACUUAAAGGAAUUGGCGGGRGMRCACAYWSRACGGGUGGAGCCUGCGGUUAAU